Molecule: ribosomal RNA, 465 nt
Filed under: uncultured bacterium
Lineage: Bacteria
Description: partial 16S ribosomal RNA
Rfam family: Bacterial small subunit ribosomal RNA
Source: RNAcentral
GACGGACGCUGGCGGCGUGCUUAACACAUGCAAGUCGAACGGAAAGGCCCCAGCUUGCUGGGGUACUCGAGUGGCGAACGGGUGAGUAACACGUGGGUGAUCUGCCCUGCACUCUGGGAUAAGCCUGGGAACCUGGGUCUAAUACCGGAUAGGACCGUGCUUUAGUGUGUGCGGUGGAAAGUUUUUCGGUGCAGGAUGAGCCCGCGGCCUAUCAGCUUGUUGGUGGGGUAAUGGCCUACCAAGGCGGCGACGGGUAGCCGGCCUGAGAGGGUGUACGGCCACAUUGGGACUGAGACACGGCCCAGACUCCUACGGGAGGCAGCAGUGGGGAAUAUUGCACAAUGGGCGCAAGCCUGAUGCAGCGACGCCGCGUGGGGGAUGACGGCCUUCGGGUUGUAAACCCCUUUCGGCAGGGACGAAGCUUUUGUGACGGUACCUGCAUAAGAAGCACCGGCUAACUACGUG